AACGAACGCUGGCGGCAGGCCUAACACAUGCAAGUCGAACGCCCGUAGCAAUACGGGAGUGGCAGACGGGUGAGUAACGCGUGGGAACGUGCCCUUCGGUUCGGAAUAACUCAGGGAAACUUGAGCUAAUACCGGAUACGUCCGUAAGGAGAAAGAUUUAUCGCCGAAGGAUCGGCCCGCGUCGGAUUAGCUAGUUGGUGAGGUAACGGCCCACCAAGGCGACGAUCCGUAGCUGGUACUGAGAGGANGAUCAGCCACACUGGGACUGAGACACGGCCCAGACUCCUACGGGAGGCAGCAGUGGGGGAAUAUUGGACAAUGGGCGAAAGCCUGAUCCAGCCAUGCCGCGUGAGUGAAGAAGGCCUUAGGGUUGUAAAGCUCUUUCAGCGGGAAGAUAAUGACGGUACCCGCAGAAGAAGCCCCGGCUAACUUCGUGCCAGCAGCCGCCGUAAU
RNAcentral lists this ribosomal RNA (453 nucleotides) under uncultured bacterium. RNAcentral describes it as "bacterial SSU rRNA". It matches the Rfam family "Bacterial small subunit ribosomal RNA", at positions 29 to 524 of the family's 1533-position model. The record is from RNAcentral.